CUGACAUUGGGUUGCUAGAGUGCAAUUCCACACGUACAGGUAUUUUUAAUUUAUGUAUUUCAAUUUGAAUAAUCUACUUUGUGUGUUGUUGUUUUUGCAUUUGUUUUGGUAUGAAGUCAUCAUUUUACCUAUUAUCAACAAAUAGGAAUUGGAUCUCUAACAUUGGGCACACAAUUGUCAAAUGUCAAUCAGAGAUUGGGUAUCAGACGUGGUGAAUUGAGAAAUUGAGGAGAUAUAUUUUCUUGGUUUCUAACUUUCUGGGUUUCGGGGUUUCAUACUAUCUGGGAAAUGCUUACCUAAACUAAUACUAAUGUAGAGAUAGUGCAUUUCAUACUAUCAGAUGUAGGCAUGUCCUUACCUAUUCUAGAGAUAUAUUAAUUGGUUUAUUUGGUACAUGCGUAAAAUAUAGAUAUAGAUUAUGUCAUGGGAUAUAUAGAUUCUGUCAUGGGAUAUAUAGGUUCUGUCAAAGAUAUAUUGGUUGUACCAAAUCAAUAUUCCAUGAUUCAAUUGUAACAAUCUGCUUUUGGUGGUGUUGUUUUUGCAUUUAGUUUGCUAUGAAAUCAUCAUUGUACCUAUUGUCGACAAUAUUCUGAGAAAGUCUGAUGGCAAGUUGAGAAAUUGAAGAGACAUAUUUUUUACAUGCAGAUUGUGAUAUGAAUUUUUCUUUGUUCCUUGUAGCAUCCUCAUGGCUACGAAAGGGUUUGCAAACCUAUAGUACAGGUCAGACGUGUUGAAGUUUCAUCGUGUAAUGGAGCGAAUAAGAGUAAAUGUGAGUGUAAGCAAAUGGCAAUCAACCAAAGGCUACAACAAUCAUCAUCGUUGGAGUAUAUAGUGAAGCAAAUGGCAAUCAACCAAUCCAAUUUCCAGCAAACAACACAAGCUGCCAUCUCCAAGUUGGAAGUCCAAUUGGGCCAGAUAGCUACUGAAAUAGCUCAAAGAGAACCCGGG
RNAcentral lists this long non-coding RNA (948 nucleotides) under Prunus dulcis (almond). RNAcentral describes it as "sRNA ncRNA". The record is from RNAcentral. Lineage: Eukaryota; Viridiplantae; Streptophyta; Magnoliopsida; Rosales; Rosaceae.